Molecule: long non-coding RNA, 725 nt
Organism: Columba livia (rock pigeon)
Lineage: Eukaryota; Metazoa; Chordata; Aves; Columbiformes; Columbidae
Exons: 5
Source: RefSeq, a predicted model, not a curated record
GGGCCUCGCUGGUGCCCGUGGUGCCUCCCCAGGCUGCGGCUUUGCAGGGGAGGGACGCCUGGUGCUGGCUUGCUGAGCCCGGUGCUCCCGGGAGCCCGCAGGCGCCUCGCUGGGCGGGCGGCCGUUCGGCCCCUGAGGGCUGGGACUGCCCGCCCUGGUGAUGGUGGGUUGGUGCUGUCACUGAGCUCUACUCACGUGCUUCAGCCACAGUCUCAACUAGAAAUGAACUAAAGCUUCAAAGAUCAGAUCAUAAUCCAUAUUCCCUGAAAGUCAGUGCUUAAACCUGAAUAAUUUGGAAACAUCUGAUCUGCAGAGGCAGCAAAGAGCCAUUGCAUCAAGAGAAACAGUAAUUUCAGUUAACAGAAAACAUGAACUGCUCCUCAAGGGACUUCUGCAAGAUCAGAAACCAGACUUUAUUUAAUCUGCUUGGCUGAGGGAGGGAGAGCACAGCAGAAACAGAGAACCUGGAGUGUCACUGGCGUCUGGGUCACAGAGAGGACACAUAUUGCAGAGCUUUUGCCGUGGAGAACUAUUUUCUGGACGCUUCAUGAACAGAUAGGCUGGGAGUCUUUCAAGGAAAACCAGCUUGACCCAAGGGGGCAUAGUUCCAUUAAAUAGUAUCAUCUGGGGGGUAAGGAAAGAAGAAGCAGAUGACGAGGGCAGAAUUUACCAGAACAAGAUUUGACCAGGCAGAGUACAUCCUAAUCCACUGGCUGAAUUAUUUU